AGUAGCUAAUUGAUAUCUACCCAGCUAGUAAUUUGACUUCAUAUUUUCAAAUGUGGAACGAAGUUAAAUAAAAAUACGAUGGCUUUAUGUGAAAUUAAGGGGAAAGAUAAAAAUUGGGAGCAAGAAAGAAAAGGAUUAUGUUUGCCACAGGUCAGUAAUAUGAAGCAAGUGUUUGUCCAAAUCACAGCAUGCCCGACAGAAGCUUUUUAAAUCAAAGGGUCAAGCUUAAAAUUAUUCUAUUUACUCCCCAUGUUGGGCAUGCAUGCAGUUUAAUACAUAUCCAUCUUUCAAAAACUGAAAGACAACAAGUGGCAGGAAAAAUUUAACUGACCUAAAAUUCAACUUUUUUAAUAUAUGACAAACUUACAAUGAUUAAUUAUUAAAAUGUAGAUAGGGUGCCAUACACAAUCAUUUUGAUGGAACAUAUUUGUCUGCAUUGAACCAAUUUAAAUUUUUCCUUUUCAAAUAAAUGUAACUUAUAAACAGUAA
Agrilus planipennis (emerald ash borer) is the source of this 489-nucleotide long non-coding RNA. RefSeq lists it as uncharacterized. The record is from RefSeq and is a predicted model, not a curated record. The transcript is spliced from 3 exons. Lineage: Eukaryota; Metazoa; Arthropoda; Insecta; Coleoptera; Buprestidae.